This 407-nucleotide ribosomal RNA is filed under the name uncultured microorganism. RNAcentral describes it as "bacterial SSU rRNA". It matches the Rfam family "Bacterial small subunit ribosomal RNA", at positions 509 to 917 of the family's 1533-position model. The record is from RNAcentral.
CAGCCGCCGCGGUAAUACGUAGGGGGCGAGCGUUACCCGGAUUCACUGGGCGUAAAGGGGGUGUAGGCGGCUCGGUAAGUCGGGUGUGAAAUCCCACGGCUCAACCGUGGAAUUGCGCCCGAAACUGCCGAGCUUGGGGCCGGUAGAGGGAGACGGAACUGCCGGUGUAGGGGUGAAAUCCGUAGAUAUCGGCAGGAACGCCGGUGGGGAAGCCGGUCUCCUGGGCCGCGCCCGACGCUGAGGCCCGAAAGCUAGGGGAGCAAACCGGAUUAGAUACCCGGGUAGUCCUAGCCGUAAACGAUGCCCACUAGGUGUGGGGGAGUAGUUCCUCCGUGCUGGAGCUAACGCGUUAAGUGGGCCGCCUGGGGAGUACGCCCGCAAGGGUGAAACUUAAAGGAAUUGGCGGG